RNAcentral lists this ribosomal RNA (552 nucleotides) under uncultured bacterium. Its description in RNAcentral is "partial 16S ribosomal RNA". It matches the Rfam family "Bacterial small subunit ribosomal RNA", at positions 355 to 899 of the family's 1533-position model. The record is from RNAcentral.
UGGGGAAUAUUGCACAAUGGGCGCAAGCCUGAUGCAGCCAUGCCGCGUGUGUGAAGAAGGCCUUCGGGUGUAAAGCACUUUCAGCGAGGAGGAAGGUGGUGAGCUUAAUACGCUCAUCAAUUGACGUUACUCGCAGAAGAAGCACCGGCUAACUCCGUGCCAGCAGCCGCGGUAAUACGGAGGGUGCAAGCGUUAAUCGGAAUUACUGGGCGUAAAGCGCACGCAGGCGGUUUGUUAAGUCAGAUGUGAAAUCCCCGGGCUCAACCUGGGAACUGCAUUUGAAACUGGCAAGCUAGAGUCUCGUAGAGGGGGGUAGAAUUCCAGGUGUAGCGGUGAAAUGCGUAGAGAUCUGGAGGAAUACCGGUGGCGAAGGCGGCCCCCUGGACGAAGACUGACGCUCAGGUGCGAAAGCGUGGGGCAGCAAACAGGAUUAGAUACCCUGGUAGUCCACGCUGUAAACGAUGUCNAUUUGGAGGUUGUGCCCUUGAGGCGUGGCUUCCGGAGCUAACGCGUUAAAUCGACCGCCUGGGGAGUACGGCCGCAAGGCUAAAA